RNAcentral lists this ribosomal RNA (1419 nucleotides) under uncultured Planctomyces sp. RNAcentral describes it as "bacterial SSU rRNA". It matches the Rfam family "Bacterial small subunit ribosomal RNA", at positions 44 to 1401 of the family's 1533-position model. The record is from RNAcentral. Lineage: Bacteria; Pseudomonadati; Planctomycetota; Planctomycetia; Planctomycetales; Planctomycetaceae.
AACAUUACGGCAUGCAAUGUCGAGCGAGAACCGUAGCAAUACGGCGGACAGCGGCGAACUGGGACAGUAAUGUGUAGGUACCUACCCCUGGGUCCGGGAUAGCUGCGGGAAACUGCAGGUAAUUACCGGAUAACGUCUGAGGACCAAAGGUGUGAUUCCACCUGGUGGAGGGUGCCUGCAUCCUAUUAGCUUGUUGGUGGGGUAACGGCUCACCAAGGCAACGAUGGGUAGCGGGUGUGAGAGCACGACCCGCGUCAUUGGGACUGAGAUACUGCCCAGAACCACCUACGCGGUGGCUGCAGUCGAGGAUCUUCGGCAAUCGGUGCGGAAACCCUGACCGAAGCGACGCCGGCGUGUGGCGAUGAAGGCCUCUCGGGUUGUAAACCACUGUCGUAGAGGAGCGAAAUGCAGGGCGGCGUUCUCCCCUGUUGCUUGACCUAUUCUAGGAGGAAGUACGGGCUAAGUUCGUGCCAGCAGCCGGCGGUAAGACGAACCGUACAAACGUAUACUCGGAAUUACUGGGCUCUAAAGGGUGCGUAGGUCUGCGCGGAAAGUCUGGCGUGUGAACAGCCCUCAGCUCAACUGAGGAAGCAUACACUCAAUAACUACCGUGCUCGAGGGAGACAGAGGUAAGCGGAACUCAAGGUGGAGCCGUGAAAUGCGUUCUGAUGACUUGAGGAACACCGGUGGCGAAGGCGGCUUACUGGGUCUCUUCUGACGCUGAGGCACGAACAGCUAAGGUAGCCAAAUUCGGGAUUGAAGAUACCCCGGUAGUCUUAGCUGUAAAUCGAUGAGCACUUGUAUUGAAGGGUCCUCCAUAGCCUUGUCAGACGUAGCGAAAGUGUUAAGUGCUCCGCCUGGCGGAGUAUGGUCGCAAUGGCUGAAACUCAAAUGAAAUUGACGGUCGGGCUCACACAAGCGGUGGAGGAUGUGGCUUAAUUCGAGGCAGAACGCGAAGUAACCUUAUCCUAGGUCUCGACAUGCACGGAUCAAACUCGGUGAAAGCCGAGCCAGGCCUUUCGGGUACAAUCGUGCACAGGUGCUGGCAUGGCCUUGUCGUCAGCUCGUGUCGUAGAGAUGUUCGCCGUUAAGUCGCUUGAACGAGCGAAACCUCUUGUCUCUAGUUGCCAGCACGUCAUGGUGGCGGACUCUAGAGAGACCGCCGGCGUUAAGCCGGAGGAAGGUGGGGAUGACGUUAAGUCCUCAUGGCCCUUAUGGACUAGGGCUGCACACGUCCUACAAUGGAGCGCACAAAGGGAUGCAAAUACCGCGAGGUCGAGCAAAUCCCAAAUAAACGCUCCCUAGUUCGCGAUUGCAGGCUGCAACUCGCCUGCAUGAAGUUGGAAUCGCUAGUAAUCGCGGGUCAGCAAUACCGCGGUGAAUGUGAUUCCUGAGCCCUUGUACACACCGCCUCGACUG